Molecule: long non-coding RNA, 617 nt
Organism: Cucumis melo (muskmelon)
Lineage: Eukaryota; Viridiplantae; Streptophyta; Magnoliopsida; Cucurbitales; Cucurbitaceae
Exons: 2
Source: RefSeq, a predicted model, not a curated record
CCCACAUGGCCAAACUACAGUAAGUUGCAGCAAUUGUCACAUAAUGGAGCUUUGGAUGCUCACAACAGGCCAUCGAGUGAGAAGAAGAAUAUUUAUAUGGAACCUCAGGGAUCAAAGAAAAAGAAUGAAGCUUUUCAGUCACUUAUCUUUACCCGACGAGGAUUGGAUAUUUUUUGAGAGCUGCAUCGAUUUGGGCGGUAAAAUCCAAAUGCAUCAACGACAGUUCCUGUCUGGUUGACCCUUCCACCUUCAGAAAAUCAUCAUGGAAGACAGCAGAAAGACAAAAACUGAUGUACACAAUCAUGUCAGUUGUUAAGAGGCAAUUUCUCUCUAUUUGGAUUCUCCAGUCAGGCCUUUUCCUAGAAUAAACAGUAAUGACUAGAAAAAAACAGUAAACGACGAGUUAAAAUGAGUAUAAUUCAAUUGACAUACAAGUGUUUUGGUAACUACAUUUAAUUACAUAGUUUGUGGUAGGAAUCUUCUCCUCCAAAUUGUACUAAAAAAGAAUUGUAGUGAAUGACCAAGAGAGAUCACCUAGAUUCUCUUCCCAUUUGAUGUUAAAUGAAAUAGCACUGUUAGACCUAUAUAUAUUUUACACAAUUUUCUUCGUUAGCUUA